UACGUAGGGGGCAAGCGUUGUCCGGAUUUAUUGGGCGUAAAGAGCGUGUAGGCGGCUAGGUAGGUCCGUUGUGAAAACUCGAGGCUCAACCUCGAGACGUCGAUGGAAACCAUCUAGCUAGAGUCCGGAAGAGGAGAGUGGAAUUCCUGGUGUAGCGGUGAAAUGCGCAGAUAUCAGGAAGAACACCCGUGGCGAAGGCAGCUCGCUGGGACGGUACUGACGCUGAGACGCGAAAGCGUGGGGAGCAAACAGG
This 253-nucleotide ribosomal RNA is filed under the name uncultured bacterium. RNAcentral describes it as "partial 16S ribosomal RNA". It matches the Rfam family "Bacterial small subunit ribosomal RNA", at positions 524 to 776 of the family's 1533-position model. The record is from RNAcentral.